UCGUGCUAGACGGGGAGCUAGCGGUGCCCUGAACCCGCAAUCCGCUAUAGCGGGGUUGAACUCCCGCUCGAGGUUCAGGCGCCGUGGGGACUGCCCUGGAAAGUAGCGUUGAUGACCCGGCCCUGCGCGGCGAGGCGCUGCGAACCCCGUCAGGCCCGGAAGGGAGCAGCGGUAAGUAGUAAGCUUCGGGUGCCGCAGGUAAACCGAGUUGGAGCUGGCUGUCAGGACAAGCCCGCGGGGCCCGGAUCGACAGCGGGUGCACGA
RNAcentral lists this signal recognition particle RNA (264 nucleotides) under Dehalococcoidia bacterium. Its description in RNAcentral is "signal recognition particle sRNA large type". It matches the Rfam family "Bacterial large signal recognition particle RNA". From Rfam's summary of the family: The signal recognition particle (SRP) is a universally conserved ribonucleoprotein involved in the co-translational targeting of proteins to membranes. Archaeal SRP consists of a 7S RNA and homologues of the eukaryotic SRP19 and SRP54 proteins. Lineage: Bacteria; Bacillati; Chloroflexota; Dehalococcoidia. The record is from RNAcentral.